GCGACCCCAGGUCAGGCGGGACUACCCGCNGAGUUU
This 36-nucleotide ribosomal RNA is filed under the name Poa alsodes. Its description in RNAcentral is "partial 26S ribosomal RNA". The record is from RNAcentral. Lineage: Eukaryota; Viridiplantae; Streptophyta; Magnoliopsida; Poales; Poaceae.